RNAcentral lists this ribosomal RNA (860 nucleotides) under Bacillus sp. BAB-5078. Its description in RNAcentral is "bacterial SSU rRNA". It matches the Rfam family "Bacterial small subunit ribosomal RNA", at positions 18 to 860 of the family's 1533-position model. The record is from RNAcentral. Lineage: Bacteria; Bacillati; Bacillota; Bacilli; Caryophanales; Bacillaceae.
CCUGGCUCAGGACGAACGCUGGCGGCGUGCCUAAUACAUGCAAGUCGAGCGGACAGAAGGGAGCUUGCUCCCGGAUGUUAGCGGCGGACGGGUGAGUAACACGUGGGUAACCUGCCUGUAAGACUGGGAUAACUCCGGGAAACCGGAGCUAAUACCGGAUAGUUCCUUGAACCGCAUGGUUCAAGGAUGAAAGACGGUUUCGGCUGUCACUUACAGAUGGACCCGCGGCGCAUUAGCUAGUUGGUGGGGUAAUGGCUCACCAAGGCGACGAUGCGUAGCCGACCUGAGAGGGUGAUCGGCCACACUGGGACUGAGACACGGCCCAGACUCCUACGGGAGGCAGCAGUAGGGAAUCUUCCGCAAUGGACGAAAGUCUGACGGAGCAACGCCGCGUGAGUGAUGAAGGUUUUCGGAUCGUAAAGCUCUGUUGUUAGGGAAGAACAAGUGCGAGAGUAACUGCUCGCACCUUGACGGUACCUAACCAGAAAGCCACGGCUAACUACGUGCCAGCAGCCGCGGUAAUACGUAGGUGGCAAGCGUUGUCCGGAAUUAUUGGGCGUAAAGGGCUCGCAGGCGGUUUCUUAAGUCUGAUGUGAAAGCCCCCGGCUCAACCGGGGAGGGUCAUUGGAAACUGGGAAACUUGAGUGCAGAAGAGGAGAGUGGAAUUCCACGUGUAGCGGUGAAAUGCGUAGAGAUGUGGAGGAACACCAGUGGCGAAGGCGACUCUCUGGUCUGUAACUGACGCUGAGGAGCGAAAGCGUGGGGAGCGAACAGGAUUAGAUACCCUGGUAGUCCACGCCGUAAACGAUGAGUGCUAAGUGUUAGGGGGUUUCCGCCCCUUAGUGCUGCAGCUAACGCAU